CCUACGGGAGGCAGCAGUGAGGAAUAUUGGUCAAUGGACGCAAGUCUGAACCAGCCAUGCAGCGUGCAGGAAGACGGCCCUAUGAGUUGUAAACUGCUUUUUUACGAGGGUAAACUCAAAUACGCAUAUCUUUCUGAAUGUAUCUUACGAAUAAGUAUCGGCUAACUCCGUGCCAGCAGCCGCGGUAAUACGGAGGAUUCAAGCGUUAUCCGGAUUUAUUGGGUUUAAAGGGUGCGUAGGCGGGCUGGUAAGUUAGUGGUGAAAGCUAGAGGCUCAACUUCGAAAUUGCAGCUGAUACUGGUCGCCUAGAGAGUAGUUGCGGUAGGCGGAAUGUAUGGUGUAGCGGUGAAAUGCUUAGAGAUCAUACAGAACACCGAUUGCGAAGGCAGCCUACCAAGCUAUUUCUGACGUUGAGGCACGAAAGUGUGGGGAGCAAACAGGAUUAGAUACCCUUGUAGUC
This 460-nucleotide ribosomal RNA is filed under the name uncultured bacterium. Its description in RNAcentral is "partial 16S ribosomal RNA". It matches the Rfam family "Bacterial small subunit ribosomal RNA", at positions 338 to 795 of the family's 1533-position model. The record is from RNAcentral.